UCUGGCCUCAAAUCAGGUAGGGCUACCCGCUGAACUUAAGCAUAUCAAUAAGCGGAGGAAAAGAAACUAACUAGGAUUCCCUUAGUAACGGCGAGUGAACCGGGAUGAGCUCAAAUUUAAAAUCUGGCGUCUUUCAGGCGUCCGAGUUGUAAUCUAUAGAGGCGUUUUCCGCGCCGGACCGCGUCCAAGUCUCUUGGAAUAGAGUAUCAAAGAGGGUGACAAUCCCGUACUUGACGCGACAACCGGUGCUCUGUGAUACGUUCUCAAUGAGUCGAGUUGUUUGGGAAUGCAGCUCUAAAUGGGUGGUAAAUUCCAUCUAAGGCUAAAUAUUGGCGAGAGACCGAUAGCGAACAAGUACCGUGAGGGAAAGAUGAAAAGCACUUUGGAAAGAGAGUUAAACAGCACGUGAAAUUGUUAAAAGGGAAACGAUUGAAGUCAGUCGUGUGAAAGGUAUUCAGCCGUCUCUGGCGGUGUAUUUGCCUUUCACGGGUCAACAUCAGUUUGAUCCGGUAGAAAAAGGCAAGAGGAAGGGGCACCCUCCGGUGUGUUAAAGCCCCUUGUCAAAUGUGCCGGACCAAACUGAGGAACCAACUUGCCCAAAGGCCGGGUUCG
Molecule: ribosomal RNA, 612 nt
Filed under: Cryptococcus sp. (in: basidiomycete fungi)
Lineage: Eukaryota; Fungi; Basidiomycota; Tremellomycetes; Tremellales; Cryptococcaceae
Description: Cryptococcus sp. (in: Fungi) partial 28S ribosomal RNA
Rfam family: Eukaryotic large subunit ribosomal RNA
Source: RNAcentral